GAACAGUGAUGAGGUGUAUGCGUUCACUGUGAGGAUUGGGUUCCUCACAAAUCUCCGAUUCCGGAAGAAAACUGCGCAUCUGAGUUC
Cornus florida is the source of this 87-nucleotide small nucleolar RNA. RefSeq annotates it as small nucleolar RNA snoR114. The transcript has a single exon. NCBI's taxonomy places the organism in Eukaryota, Viridiplantae, Streptophyta, Magnoliopsida, Cornales, Cornaceae. The record is from RefSeq and is a predicted model, not a curated record.